CUAGCCGGUGGUUCAGGUGGCCGGUCGGGCUGGAAGGGCGGGGAUGAGGGAUGGGACGCAUCCCCGGGGGAUGCUCCUCCAAAGCUUUUAUCGGGCGAGCGCAGUGGCUCACGCCUGUAAUUCCUGCACUUUGGGAGGCUAAGUAGAGAUGGGGUUUCACCAUAUUGGCUAUGCUGGUCUCGAACUCCUGACCUUGUGAUCCACCUGCCUUGGCCUCCCAAAGUGCUGGGAUUACAGGAUGAAAGGCUUCCUAGCACAAACACCACCCCUGGAGUUCCCGGUACAUCAAUACCAGCCUGGGGAUCACGUUCUCAUCAAGAGUUGGAAGAGGGAAAGCUUGAACCAGCUUAGGAGGACCUCAUCUGGUACUCUUGAUGAAUGAAACAGCAAUCUGAAUGGCUGAAAAAGGAUGGACCCAGCACUCCAGGGAGAAAACUUGGCAUUCUUUGGGAAUCUAACAGGAUGCAGUGAACCCAAGCCUUUUGAAGAGCUCACCAAUCAGACUGCCCUUGUCUAUCCAUGAGCAGAUGUUUGAUAGUAUUGCGGAGGCCCUCUAGUGGGUAUGCUGCCAAGCAACUGGAGUGGCACUUGGGCUCUAAUCCAGUUGUCUAUCCCUUUCACCCUGGCAUUUCAUCAGCCAAACAAAAACCAACUAACUCAGAAAAAAAGGAAAGCCCCUCAAGGGUCCUUUGACCCCGAUAUCUACAUAGAUGCUAUCGGGGUCCCCUGAGGGGUACCAAACGAAUUCAAAGCUCGAAAUCAAAUAGCUGCUGGAUUCAAGUCUGUCCUUUUCUUGUGGUCUACUAUAAAUAAAAAUGUAGACUGGAUAAAUUACAUAUACUAUAACCAACAACGAUUUGUCAGUUACACCAGGGAUGCCAUUAAAGGAAUAGCUGAACAAUUGGGUUUCACCAGCCAAAUGGCCUGGGAAAAUAGAAUAGCUCUUGACAUGAUAUUAGUGGAAGUCCAAUGUUGUACCUGUAUCCCCAAUAAUACAGCCCCUGAUGUAACUAUCACUAAGGGUCUAUAAGGCCUCACCACUCUAGGAAAUGAACUAGCUGAAAAUUCGGGAAUGAAUGAUCCCUUUACAGGUGUAAUGGAAAAAAUGGUUUGGUAGAUGGAAAGGACUAAUGGCCUCUAUUCUCACCUCCCUUGUGAUCAUAAUAGGGGUGCUCAUUCUCUUAGGGUGCUGUAUUAUACCCUGUGUCUGCGGACUAGUUCAAAAGCUCAUAGAAACAGCCCUUACCAAGACCUCCCACAACUCUCCCCCACCCUAUUCAGAUAAACGUUUAUUUCUAAGCAACCAAGAAGAGCAGUGAAGCCAGAUCCUGUUAGAAAUAUAUGAAGAGGAAGGACUACAAAAUCAAAAGGGGAAAAUUAUUAGACAAAAUGAGUUGCUCUACAAAGGUCCAACUUCGUUGUCCUUUGUUCUGUAACCUUUGUUCUGUAAACUGCCCUUCCCGCAGAAACUGUCUUUCCCGCCGACCAAAACUGCCCUUCACUAUCACUGUAAUCCAUACCCCUACUCUAUUUGAAACUGCCAAUCGGGAUCAGCUUACAUUGUGUGGUUCAACCACCAGCCAAUGAGGAAAAAACACAGAAGCAAAAGCUAUGAUGCAUUAGGGUUAAAAACCCCUUCCUUUCCCUGUCCAAUGUGCUCUUGAGACUGCUACAGGCGCAAGCAGCCACCUUCUGCAGAAGUAAACCUUGCCUUGCUGAGAAAUUUUUCUUUUGAGUGCUGGUCUCUCUCUGUGGCACCAAGAACUUAUUUCUAACAUGGAGUGAUUUCCAAGAUAGAUGGUUAAGUGAAAAUAAAAACUGUUGCCAGGCACGGUAGCUCAUGCCUGUAAUCCCAGCACUUUGGGAGUCUGAGGAGGUUGGAUUAUUUGAGGUCAGGAGUUUGAGACCAGCCUAGCCAACAUGGUGAAAUCCUGUCUCUUCUAAAUAUACAAAAAAUUAGCCGGGCGUGGUUGUGGGUGCCUGUAAUCCCAGCUACUUGGGAAGCUGA
Long non-coding RNA from Homo sapiens (human), 2008 nucleotides. Ensembl annotates it as ZNF561 antisense RNA 1 (head to head). Its record names the gene ZNF561-AS1. The record is from Ensembl. Lineage: Eukaryota; Metazoa; Chordata; Mammalia; Primates; Hominidae.